Molecule: long non-coding RNA, 3263 nt
Organism: Ricinus communis (castor bean)
Lineage: Eukaryota; Viridiplantae; Streptophyta; Magnoliopsida; Malpighiales; Euphorbiaceae
Exons: 2
Source: RefSeq, a predicted model, not a curated record
GUAACUAGACCUCCGAUGAUGCUUCUCUUUGCUUCUUCAGUACUCAUUUCUUAUUGUUUGGUUUUCCCUUUGAGCUGAAGUGAUUUGGGUUCUUGGUAUAAAGUGGAAAAGAGAAGAAGAAGAAGAAAAACACUUGAAAAAUGACUCCGGCAUGGGUGGAUGGUAAAUUUCGAAUGGGCACGAAAUUACUUUUACAUGGUAAAUUUCGAAUGAUAUUGUACUAUUUUAAUAAUAUAAAAUUAAUGAUCUAAUUAAAAUAAAUAAAUAAAAAAUGUAAAAUUAGAUGAUGAUUUGUAUUUUUAAGUGAUUGGAAUAGAGAAUUUAUAUAUGUAAACUCCCAAUUAGUUUAAUACCUAUUCAAACACCUAUAAACAUCAAUAGUAACAAAAGUGAACAAUAUAUCAUCAAAAUUAAUAUUGUAUAAUUGCAAUUGAAUAAAUUAAAAAUUCAUGAAAAUUAGAUUACUAUUUGUAUUAUUAUCCGAAAACUUUAAAUUUAUUCAGGAAUGGUAAUUCAAUGUUGUUAAUCAAUCUAUUUACAAAUAACAUAAAAUAAAAUAAAAAAUCUAUUUGAACAUUAUAUAAAAUUAAUCUACACUAAUUUUAUACCAUUAACUCUUAUGCAUGCAAUGGCUCAAAUUUAUAAAACUUUUCCAAAACAAAAGAAAAAAAAACUCUAUACGAUGUCUUUUAUUUAAUAAACUACCCAAUUUUAAUUGAUUUUUCGUAUGUGUAUAUAUAUAUUCAAGAUGGAAACUAAUCAUGAAUCAUCACCGACCGACUGUGUAUUAAAGAUGCAAAGAAAGUGAAACUACGAAAAUAAUUGUGACAAGAGGAAUAGGGAACCAGAUGCUGCCAAAAAAGCAAAGCCACUUGUUAUUAAUUUACAAUAAUAUUUUCAGGGAAACCUAAAAGCUAUUUUAAGAGAUUAGUUUUGUGAGAUGGUGAAACAUCAGUCUAAAACUUGUUAAUUUUACAAGCGUAAUUGAUACGUAAACAGCACCAAUUUCUUACACAUUGAGGUCUUCGAAAAAUCAUCAAUUAUGCUUCAUCAUCAUCAGUGUCUUGCACAACUCUAUCCCUCCUCAUUCUCUUGCCAUUAGGCAAACCACAUCCAUCCUCGCCCUCGGACUCAGAUUCCUCUGCAAUCUCAGGACUGUCUUUUCGUCGUGAGGAAAAUUUGUCUGAUACAUUAUCUUCGGAAUCUUCAUGUGAUCUAUCCACAUUAGCACCAACUGCAUCGUCAUUAUUAUGUUCAUGAUUUAAAUCAGCUUCUUCCUUGUCGUUGGGAGGAUCUAAUAUUCUGAAAUCCCUGGAAGUGCUACGCUUGGCAUGCUUCAGUAAAUUGACUUUACUUGCCUUGCUGAGCCGGAUGAGAUACUUCUCAUAAUCUUCUAUUUGGAAGAUCAGCUCAGGUAUGCAUUUAUUCUCCCUUUUAAUCUUGUUAAUGAUACCCUUAGUAUUAGGCUUUUCUUGUUGUACCUGCAAGUCCCGUCUAAUAGAAUCCAUGAAAAUGAUUUUGAAAGAUAAACAUAUAAUGCAGUGUCAUUUCUGUUCAAAGAGAUGAUAGACAGAAGAAAUUCGUCAUAAAAUUAAGGACAAUACCCUUUGAAUCUCCGCAACGAAUUUAUAAAGAGGAACUGUAAGCUUCUUGCAGGUUACUUCUACAAGCCUCUGGAAAGUUGGAGUAGGUAGAAGUUGCUUGCAUCCCUUAGUAGCAAUCCUAAGCCUUGAAAUCUGAGCCAAAUGCUUGUAAAACUUCGCAAUCAAUCUUAAUAGAUGCUCUGCUUGAGGGUCUGUUUACGUAUGUAUUUAAGGAUGAAUUACAUAAAUAGAGAAAUAAAUGUGAUAGAUUAGUUUUAGUACAAAUUGCUUACUUACCCUUUAGGUUCAUCAAAACAAAGAAAGAUAAUACUUUCACCACUGCUUCAGCCCUCAAGUAAAGAUUAUCCUCAACGGUCAAUCCUGGAGCAUGUUCUCCACUCUGACUAACAUGAAUGUAUCUCUGUUCAAUCAAAAAGAAUGUCUUUAAUUUUUUGAUGGUCCAAUCCAUAUCAUUGAUAACGGCUUCAAUCAGUUUCAGUAUGCAUGAACUUAUAGCAGUGCUUGUUGACUGGUUUAUGAUGGGGCACGAUUCAGAUAUUUCUAAUGGCUUGUUACUCUCCGGUCCAAUAAAUCCAGUGACAUCCAGUAGCUCCUUAGACAUGUCAUGGGCCACAAUCAAAUCAUCUGGAGGAGAACUUAAAGAAAUUGCUAGAGCAGCCACACUUCUAGCAACUUUGGAAUUUCUUAUGCCAUGGCUUUUGCAGACGUUAAUACCCCAGGAUCCACUAGAGUUCCUCCAUUUGGAGGGUAAUUUGUCACCAACCAUUAACAUUAUAUCACAGAGAAUCUGAGAACAAAAUGUCACCUUAAAUCUUUGUAAAUUAAACCAAUUCAGCAUCAAAGUGUGUAUCUUAUAAAAAGACAUGCAUAAUGAGGCAUGGGAUACUUCAUUUACCUCGAUUUCAUUAAAAGAUGAUUGUGCAAGAAGCUCAGCAAACAGUGGUCUCAGAAUUUUGACGAUGAGUAACACUUUGAUUCUUAUUUGGUGAUCAUCAAUCCUGGAAGCUUCUUCAAAUUCUUCAUCCAAUUCAUACUCGAGUGUGGAGACUGACAACAAAUCUUCAAGCAACCCAGAGGAGUUUGAAUUCUUCAAACUAAUUGCAAUCAAUUCCUUCAAGCACAAUAAUGCUAAAUGAAGAUGUUCCUUUCGGUCUUCAAAAUCAUUCUUCCCCUUCAUCUCUUUUUUAUGGUCUGUUGCAAACUUUGGCCCUGAAUUGAGCAAGCAAAUCAAUUUCAGCAAAGGCGGUGCCAUUAAUUUGAUUUCCCCAUAGAUUAGAUUCUUAAUUGGAUCUUCUUUUCUUCCAGUGGCAUAAGAUCUUAUAUGAUGAAGGGAACUAUUCAGGACAAAAGGAACAAUCUUAAAGCAUUUCAAUGUCCCACUUGAAGAUGACUGGCUAUGGUUCUGGGAAGCUGUGGAGCCUUUAAACCAUUCAUUAUUGCACAGGUCCAAUGUUGUUUUCAUUAGCUGACAAAGACUUGAAGUUGCCAAAAACGGAAUCUGUUCUUGAGUCAUUGUGUUAUUGCUGAAAAAACUAUUACCAGGCACAUCAAGAGUAGUAGCUUGCUGACUCCCUCUUUUGACACCACAGCUCUGCCUUGCAGAUGUAUACUUCUUCAGUGUUGAAUGAAAAUUAACUAUCUCGAGAAUUUCCUUUUGGA